Oenanthe melanoleuca is the source of this 423-nucleotide long non-coding RNA. RefSeq lists it as uncharacterized. Lineage: Eukaryota; Metazoa; Chordata; Aves; Passeriformes; Muscicapidae. The transcript has 3 exons. The record is from RefSeq and is a predicted model, not a curated record.
GCUGUUCCCAGAGAAGAAUGUGCCCAAAACAGAAGUGCUGGUCACUUGGGAAGAACUGCCUUUUGUAGUAGCUGACAGGUCUGUAUCGCAGCCAUUUAGCCUGUCCCAGCUGAAAAAUGAGCAAAGAGCUCCAGAUGGCAGAAAAGAGGUCUGAAUUACGAGUAUACUACAAUCUCACAUUUUGGCAAAGAGGUUUGGAAACCUUUGCUGAUGCAACAAGCAGGGGACUCACCCUCUUCAAAGUAAGGACCCAAAAAGGAGCAGAUUUCAGCAGCUGACGGCCUGGUGUGACCCAAGUGAAACCAGCCCACCCUGCCGGCAUGUCCUCCCUGCUGUGCUUGUUCCCUUUGCCCUUGGAAUGCUAUCACUUGUUAUCACGCUGACUUCUCCAGAUGGGGCAUUUUGGCUAUUGAUCUGAUAAAU